This is a long non-coding RNA of Gastrolobium bilobum, 1060 nucleotides long. RefSeq lists it as uncharacterized. The transcript is spliced from 4 exons. The record is from RefSeq and is a predicted model, not a curated record. Lineage: Eukaryota; Viridiplantae; Streptophyta; Magnoliopsida; Fabales; Fabaceae.
AAAGGGGAGAGAAAAAUUCUGAUUAAGUUCCCAUUUAAUAUCUCAAGUCAGCCACUUCCCAUUCCUCCCUUUCCAUGCGCCUAGGUGGUGCAAAAAGCUAGCUUUACUUGUUGCAAUAUACAACCUCACUCAGCCUUUUUCUACAUGCAACCAAUAGGUGCAUAGGAGUCACCUUGCAUGUCCCUUCAUUGGGCAGAAUUGCCUCCCUCUCUUGCUCUCUUUUGUGCGCCCAAAUGUAAGAGAAGAAUUCAAAUUAAAUUUCCUGACCUUGCUUGUUAUAAUAUCAGCCUUCCAGCCUCAUUCCUACACCAUUCCAAGCGCUGUUGGUGAGUGUUGAAUUGGAGGGGUUGCUUCGUUAAAACAGAUUCAUUCUAGCCACAUAUUCCCCUCUAUCUUUUCCAUCUUGUGAGCACCUUUGAAGAAGAAGAACCUUGAACUCUGGUUUCCCUUGUUGAAAUAAACCUCAGCCGCAUGCUUCCCUCUCUUUCCUCUUGAAACCGUAGCACAAAUAGAGAGUGAAGACCAAGAAAUAAUUUCACGUUCCUCCUAUGUCCUCGUCUCAAACCGUGGACUCCUAGUGAAGACCCAACAUAAGGCUUUCGUAUUCUUCUCCCUUGCUCAGCCGAAGUCCUUAACUCAAUGAGGUAUUAAGUCAAGUUAAUCUGUUCUGUCCUCAUUUUAUUUUCGUGCGCACGGUCAUCAGCGUGAGGAGUAAAGCUUGCUGUUUUGGUGGAGCUAAGGGACUGAGGUGUUGUUCUCUGUCUUGUUCGACUUUCCUUGUGUGCUUGCAAUAGAGGUGCGCAUACUUUGUGAGACCUUGGAUCAGUUAGCUGCUGCCUGGUAAAUUAAUGGUGACAUGUGAGAUGACGUUCGUGAGACGGACAUUGAUAAAGGCAAGAGGUCGGCAUAGAGAUUUUAUUAUUUUUAUGAGCCAUGCAUAUUAUGAUUAUUCAGUUUUCCAUGAGGAGACUCUAUUGUGACUAGAUUUGAUGGAUUGUGUUGUUAUUUGUGAUGAGCAUAGGGGUUGUAUAUGCCACUAUUAAAUAAUAUGUUUAUUUGU